This 445-nucleotide ribosomal RNA is filed under the name uncultured bacterium. RNAcentral describes it as "partial 16S ribosomal RNA". It matches the Rfam family "Bacterial small subunit ribosomal RNA", at positions 354 to 796 of the family's 1533-position model. The record is from RNAcentral.
GUAGGGAAUAUUGGGCAAUGGAUGCAAGUCUGACCCAGCCAUCCCGCGUGCCGGAAGAAGGCCCUCAGGGUUGUAAACGGCUUUUGACGGUGAAGAAUCGACAGGAUGCGUCCUGUUUUGACGGUAGCCGUUGAAUAAGCACCGGCUAACUCCGUGCCAGCAGCCGCGGUAAUGCGGAGGGUGCGAGCGUUGUCCGGAUUUAUUGGGUUUAAAGGGUGCGUAGGCUGGAAGGUCAGUCAGCGGUGAAAAGCUGUCGCUUAACGAUAGUCUUGCCGCAGAUACUUCCUUUCUUGGAUGAGGAGGAGGCCACUGGAACGGAUGGUGUAGCGGUGAAAUGCAUAGAUAUCAUCCAGAACACCGAUUGCGAAGGCAGGUGGCUGUACCUUAAUCGACGCUGAUGCACGAAAGCAUGGGGAGCAAACAGGAUUAGAAACCCCUGUAGUCC